RNAcentral lists this ribosomal RNA (497 nucleotides) under uncultured bacterium. Its description in RNAcentral is "partial 16S ribosomal RNA". It matches the Rfam family "Bacterial small subunit ribosomal RNA", at positions 28 to 507 of the family's 1533-position model. The record is from RNAcentral.
GAUGAACGCUGGCGGCGUGCCUAAUACAUGCAAGUCGAGCGAACGGACGAGAAGCUUGCUUCUCUGAUGUUAGCGGCGGACGGGUGAGUAACACGUGGAUAACCUACCUAUAAGACUGGGAUAACUUCGGGAAACCGUAUCUAAUACCGGAUAAUAUUUUGAACCGCAUGGUUCAAAAGUGAAAGACGGUCUUGCUGUCACUUAUAGAUGGAGCCGCGCUGCAUUAGCUAGUUGGUAAGGUAACGGCUUACCAAGGCAACGAUGCAUAGCCGACCUGAGAGGGUGAUCGGCCACACUGGAACUGAGACACGGUCCAGACUCCUACGGGAGGCAGCAGUAGGGAAUAUUCCGCAAUGGGCGAAAGCCUGACGGAGCAACGCCGCGUGAGUGAUGAAGGUCUUCGGAUCGUAAAACUCUGUUAUUAGGGAAGAACAUAUGUGUAAGUAACUGUGCACAUCUUGACGGUACCUAAUCAGAAAGCCACGGCUAACUACGUG